UACGUAGGGUGCAAGCGUUGUCCGGAAUUAUUGGGCGUAAAGAGCUCGUAGGCGGUCUGUCACGUCGGCUGUGAAAUCCCGAGGCUCAACCUCGGGUCUGCAGUCGAUACGGGCAAACUAGAGUAUUGCAGGGGAGACUGGAAUUCCUGGUGUAGCGGUGAAAUGCGCAGAUAUCAGGAGGAACACCGGUGGCGAAGGCGGGUCUCUGGGCCGAUACUGACGCUGAGGAGCGAAAGCGUGGGGGAGCGAACAGG
Molecule: ribosomal RNA, 254 nt
Filed under: uncultured bacterium
Lineage: Bacteria
Description: partial 16S ribosomal RNA
Rfam family: Bacterial small subunit ribosomal RNA
Source: RNAcentral